CAAAGCACCGCACCCUAAGCAAGAGAAAUUCUGGCUUCACAAAGUCCAGCAAAUACAUGGUAUCAGGAGCUCGCAGCCAGUCGGCAAUGGAUCUGUUGGCAGAGGACAUCAAUGAAGAUUACUGCUCAAGAAAGCCAGCCAACAGGACUUCGGCAGUAUGUCUGUGAGCUGUGCCCUGAUAAACAAGGCCAAUGCCAACCACCGCAGCCACUUGGACAUUGUGAGGCACAUCAAGCUCCGUGGACGUCGGGGGUAAGAGAGCAGGAACGUGGAUGCUAAGAAGCCGGGUAACGGACAUGUCCAUGGUGCCAAGUUUUGCAGCAGAAACACCAAGAAGCAAUCCAAUGCUUGUCAUCUCAUGGCCCUACAAAGGCAAACAAAAUAAAACUCAGACACUACCA
This is a non-coding RNA of Peromyscus maniculatus bairdii (prairie deer mouse), 401 nucleotides long. NCBI's taxonomy places the organism in Eukaryota, Metazoa, Chordata, Mammalia, Rodentia, Cricetidae. The record is from RefSeq and is a predicted model, not a curated record.